RNAcentral lists this long non-coding RNA (1038 nucleotides) under Anolis carolinensis (green anole). RNAcentral's name for it is "lncRNA (ENSACAG00000036951.1)". Lineage: Eukaryota; Metazoa; Chordata; Lepidosauria; Squamata; Anolidae. The record is from RNAcentral.
UGUAGAAGGGGCCUGAGGCCCCUUCUACACUGCCAUAUUAUCCAGAUUAACAAAUCAGAUAAUCCACAUUAUCUGUUUAGAACUAUGGCCCCUUCCACACAGCUGUAUAAAAUUCACAUUGAAUUGAAUUAUAUGGCAGUGUGGACUCAGUUCAGUUCAAAGCAGAUAAUGUGGAUUAUCUGCCUUGAUAUUCUGGGUUAUAUGGCUGUGUGGGAGGGCCCUUAAUUAUGAUUGUAAAUACAAAACAACCACAGAUAGUUAAGUGUUUCAUAUUCAUGUUUACUGUCAUGAUUUCGGUAUUAUUGCAAUGACUGUAACUCUCUCCUCAACCUAUAUUGCUGGACAUCAGCUGCAAGGAGAGGCAUUUUGCUGAUGACCAGAGCAUGGUUGACUGAUAUAAUUGUACAUUUCAUGUUUCCUUUUUAGAUCUAGUUCCUGCAUACUGUUUGCAACCUCUCCUGCUUUUCUGAUUCAUGUGAUCAAAUGGCUUGCUCACUUUGGUGCUCUGUAACAUGACUUAUAUGGGUAGUGAGAAACCAUGUACUCCAGAAGCAAAAUGUCUUGCAUCAGCCUGACCACAUUUUUUUAAAAAAAUGGAACAAUAAUGAACCAUGGUGACAUCUAAUGCCCACUUCAUGUCCUCAGUUUCCUGGCUUGAGUCUAGAGUCCCACUCUGAAUUUUUCUUCAGUCUUUGAUUCUCCAACAACCAUAUUUCCAUGGUUACUUUUCAAAUCAUAGCUCUGUCGCUCUACUGUCUGGACUCCUUAACUGAUUGCACUCCUUUCUAGAACUGUCUCUGUUCCCACUGCCUCCAGGUUUUUCCUCUAAUCAUAGAUAUUUUGGCUCUGAGUAUAACUAAUACCAGUCAUUCCUCAUGGACCAGCCAGAUUAAAGUAAACAGUUGCCCCUCCACAUUUGAAGUUUUGACUUUUGCAGAUUUGAUUUAAAAUGUUCUCUCUAGGAAUCUCUACAUCCUCCAGUGUGAGUUUAUGGUCACCUUCCUGCCUGUAUACUGGAUGAUCCCAUGCCCACAUAGA